Molecule: long non-coding RNA, 654 nt
Organism: Cebus imitator (Panamanian white-faced capuchin)
Lineage: Eukaryota; Metazoa; Chordata; Mammalia; Primates; Cebidae
Exons: 3
Source: RefSeq, a predicted model, not a curated record
GAUCCACCCACCUCAGCCUCCCAAAGUGCUGGGAUUACAGGCGUGAGCCACUGUGCCGGCCAUGAAUGGACUGAUUUUGAAUGUAGCCAAUGCACAGGAAUUGGAACACUAGCAUUUCCUUUCGUGAUAAGCAAGUGUAGACACAGCUCGGAGAGGUCCUGUGUGGCGUCUCGGGAAAGUGGUCCAGGGACAGGGGACACCUAGGGAAGAGCGAAGGUCAUCAGGGCUCAGGAAACGAGGGCUGCACCCCACGGAGGGGCAGGAGUGGAGCAGAAGCUCUAGCCGUCAAACAGGAGGUGACGGUGGCCUGGAGCUGAGUGGAAAAGGGAACACGCACAAAGGCCACAUGGAGGUUGCUUGCUCAAGAACUGGAUGUGGUGCAUGAAGAGAAGGGAGAAACAAAGACGAAUUCUUGGGCUUUGGUCUGAAAUUGGGUGAAUUUACUAGGAUUGAGGCAGAGGGCAAGUGAAGAAUUCUGUUUCAAUUUAAGCUUUGAGAUGCCGCAGGUAUGGAAAUGGUAAGGGGCAGAAAUUUGGGUUUGGAGUUUGUGGGAGGAUUCUGGGUUGAUUUUGAAUUUGGGAGCAGAUAGGUGUUAUGUAAAGUCCAUAGUGUAGGCUGGGCAUGGUGGCUCAUGCCUGUGAUCCCAGCACUUUG